CCUACGGGUGGCAGCAGUGGGGAAUAUUGCACAAUGGGGGAAACCCUGAUGCAGCAACGCCGCGUGAACGAAGAAGUUAUUCGUAAUGUAAAGUUCUUUUAACAGGGAAGACAGUGAAAUUUGAAGGUACCUGAAGAAUAAGCUCCGGCUAACUACGUCACAGCAGCCGCGGUAAUACGUAGGGAUCGAGCGUUAUCGGGAAUUAUUGGGCGUAAAGGGUGCGUAGAUGGCAUAGUAAGUCUUUGGUAAAAAUGCUGGGCUCAAGCCAGUAGGGCAAAAGAUACUGCAAAGCUAGAGUAUGACAGAGGCAAGUGGAACUACAUGUGUAGCGGUAAAAUGCGUAAAUAUAUGUAAGAACACCAGUGGCGAAGGCGGCUUGCUGGGUCGAUACUGACAUUGAGGCACGAAAGCGUGGGGAGCAAACAGGAUUAGAUACCCCUGUAGUC
RNAcentral lists this ribosomal RNA (446 nucleotides) under uncultured bacterium. RNAcentral describes it as "partial 16S ribosomal RNA". It matches the Rfam family "Bacterial small subunit ribosomal RNA", at positions 338 to 795 of the family's 1533-position model. The record is from RNAcentral.